This 13695-nucleotide long non-coding RNA is filed under the name Setaria viridis. RNAcentral describes it as "long non-coding RNA (SVIR_LNC005243)". The record is from RNAcentral. Lineage: Eukaryota; Viridiplantae; Streptophyta; Magnoliopsida; Poales; Poaceae.
AGAGAUGCCUUCCUGGUUCAAUGUGCAACAGAGACUUGGCCUGCAGUCGGCACCACCGGCCUUGGAAGUGCAGACAGUUGAAUGGUGGACGGAGCUACGGUCUCUUGACGCACCAAGGAGCACCGGACUAGCAACUCUGCAACUAACAGAGUGGAAAAAGCGCCCCUUAAUGAAAAGAAAAACAGCCGGUGCAAGGCUUUAUACAAAGAAUGUGACAGCCACUGCGUGUAUCCGAGAGCCUUAUCUAAUCUACCGAGGAUUGUUGUGUAUGGAUGCGUAUAGAUUAUGCACGGACUCCUCUGUCCUAAAAUAAACGCACAUCUUGCUUCUUUAGCAGUCAAACUUCUAAGUUUAACUAAAAUUUAUAAAAAAAAUGUACUACUAUUUAUAAUGUAUAAUAAAUAUCAUUAGAUUGAGCAUUGGGUAUACUUUCCUAAUACAUUUAUUUGAAGAUGCAAAUGUUGAUACUAUUUUCUAUAUUCUUAGUCAAAUUUAAAAAUAUUUGACUCAUCGAGAAGCGAGAUGUGUGUUUAUUUUGGGACGAAAGGAGUACCCGUCACCGGGAUUAGUCAAGAUAUAAGAUUAGUCAUGAUAUAAGUAGGGAUUAGCAAGCACCAAAACCCCAUUUACUGCCUAUCGAUCGCUCAAAUAAAAGAAACCAUUGCAUAUGGUGGCGAUGCGCUCGCGGGCCUUUCUCCAACCUUUCUGCUCUCGCGGGUCUUGAACUUGCACGGAACAGUUUUAGUAAAGCUGCCUCCAACUUUAGGGAGAUUGCCAAGGUUCAUUUACCUGUCCUUAAGUGGCAAUAAGUUAGGAUCGAAUGAUAAGGACGGAUUGGAAUUCAUCACCAUGCUGGCAAACUUUAGCCAGCUUCAUCAACUGGCUUUUGACAAUAAUUCAUUCAUCGGCGAACUUCCUAGCUCAAUUGCAAAUCUAUCGACAACACACCAAUUACUCUAUAUACGAUACAAUUGGAUUUCGGGAUUUAUUCCAUCCAGCAUAGGUAAUUUGCUUGGUCUAGAACUGCUUACGUUGGCAAAUACUUUCAUAUCCGGAAUGAUUGCAGAUAGCAUUGGUCGCCUAGAAGACAUGUCCGUGUUAGGCAUUUACUACGCUGACAUGUUAGGCAUUUACUACGCUAGCUUGUCAGGUAUCAUACCUUCAUCACAAGGAAAGCUUACACAGUUGAAAACUCUCUAUGCGUACGAUAGCAACUUGGAGGGUUCAUUUCCAGCAAGCUGGGGGAACUUAAAGAAUCUUUUUGUUCUUAAUCUCUCAACGAAAGUGUGUAACCCGCUAAAGUUUCAUGUCAAAGCAGAGCAUAAAUCUCUCUCAAAACUGCAAAAUUAUCAUAAAGCAGAUCAGUCUGAGGGCCAGCCUAUGCCCUAUCAACGCCUCCCUUCUUGCCCUUUUGGUAAGAUUACCCCAAACUAGAGUCUAUAAUUAAUUAGCUAAGACUAGAGCCACGUAGUUCUUGUGGUUGUACUAUUUUCCUGAGUGGUCGCUCCAUGUUCCAAUUAAGCAUGAUGAUCUUGUAUUAAUAAAAGGUAUAUCAUAAAUAAAACAAGUUUAAUCAUUGAGUUCAUUAAAACCAUCACAAUCCAAGGUAUUGCAACUAAGCAUAUCUACCUAAAAAAAAAAGGUAAAACCCAGGUUGACAAGGAAUGAUCAUAAAAACUAGGUAAACCUUAAUAGGACCCAUCAAUAUUAAAUGCAGAGCAAUGCAAAAGUGAUUAAAUAUAGUUUUUGGGAUAAAAGUAUAAGGACACACGUGCCUUUCUCCAAAGAAUAGCUGCUCAGAUUAUCUUCAGCUCUUGUUCCUCAAAGCUCUCGAACAAUGUUCCUUCUACUUGCAUCAAUCAUCGGCACAAGCAUACCAAGCAAACAACAAUCACAACUAAGAACAAUACAUCAAUCAUUGGAAAGCUUUAAAAAAUCUAAGGUCACGCGAAUGCAAGAAAUGCUGGGAACGAAACUAUGGUUGAAAAGACAAAGUUAUCGAGAGAUUUGAAUUAUAAAAGAAAGAGAAAAGCCUAUGUGCUUCAUAUAUUUUAAUAAAACAAUGUAAAGAUAUUUUAGAGAAACAUCCUUAGCAUGUUAUAGUUAUGUAUGAAAAGACAAUGUAGAACUUAGUCAAAUUUUAUUUAUAAACAUUCAAGUACAAUUUAUGCAAAUUAAAAAUUUAAUUUGAAAAUAAAGUAUAUGUAAACAUCUAAGCGCAUAGCUUUAUGAUUUAGGUUGAACUAACCAAAUAUAAAUAAAAACACAUUUAUAUUUAUAUUAAAUCAAAUUAACAUAUAAUUAUGAAAACUCAAGAUAUAACUUAUGUAGCUUUUAUUUAGAAAACAAAUUGAAUAAACAUUUUAAUUAAAGAAGACAUGUUUAACAUGCAUUAAUUAGAUUAAUAUGAAAUUUAUUUUAAAAACAUGCAUGAUGGAAAGAUCAGCACUAACGUGUAAUUUGUGUUAUCACGAACCUAACUCAACAACAACGGAUAUAAACGGAGCUGUAACGAGGAGUCUAUGGGUUAAACAAGGUUGCAGGGCCUAAUCGCGAUUAACGGAAGGUUAUUGGGGCUAGCAAGGAAGAUUUGCAAGACACUGGAUUAGUGCUCACCAUUAGGUCAAAGCAUAGGGUUAGAUAUGUUAAAGUGCUCAGGUUAGACUUGGUUGCACGGAUCCAAUCUAAUCAGGGACAUGGAUGAAAAAAAACAAGACACAAGGAAAAACUAACUAUUUGUAGAGCUUUAUAGGGGCCUAUGCGCAAAAGCACCACAGCUCAGCAUCCAUGGCGGACGGGCUCCUGGAUGGCAAAACCCUCGUGUCGGAUUUAUAAGCCUGGUAGUCCACCAAGGGAUUCCCCAAGUGGUUGAUUUGUAGGUGAGGGUGAUUGUGAAACCAAGAACUCGAAGGUGAUCGCGAGAACACGAAGGGACACGAAGGUUUUAGACAAGUUCGGACCUUCGGAGAGUAAUACCCUACGUCCUAUAUGCUGGUUUGUAUUGCUUGAGAUUGAUCUAAUUGUUGCGAUACCCUCGGGGGUGCCCUUGGCCGCCUUAUAUAGGCUGACGAUCAAGAGUUAAAAGUCGGUUUGAAUCUAAUCUACUCGGUAGUUACAUGGAAAAUAAUCUGAGUUGGACUACAAUAUGUGUUCCAUGAUAUCUGGGUAGAUUUGAACUAUCUUGUUGCCUUGACGUGCACUCCAAGUAACUUCAUGUCCUCGGCCCGCACGCCCUGAUCGGGCAGGCCCUACUUGUUAGGUCCGACCAGUAUCCUGGCCGGUCGGGGCCCAUGGGGUACCCAUAUCCCUCAAGCCCCCAAGCAUUGUGUAGGCAAACAGGAACUUGAUGUCAUCAAAGUGAAACUUGAAAUGAAAUCGGGUGAAGCUGCGAAGGCGUCAUGGCGACGGAGAGCUCAAAAAAAGAAAAUAUGAGCAAACGAAGAGCCAACGCGUAGAGCGAGGAUGAGUGCCGAGUUGAUGGAUGCUGGCAUCCAGCAGGUCGAAUCGAAGGUUACGGAGGGCGUCGCAAGACGCACUCUGUAGGAGUAGCCCCGGAGCAUUGAAACAAUUAAGAUAAUCAAUACAAUGGUCAAAGAGGAAAAAAUUGUCCCCUGAAGCAGAUCCUUGUGCCCGAACACAAGGAUGGACGCAGCCACGGAGGCCCGCCAACCAGAAGUAGGCACCCAGACUCAAGGACGAGGACUGGUGGGACUGUGGAGCCAUGCCGACCUGAAAUAGGCAUCUAACCCCUGAGGACGAGGACUAGCGGAGCCGCGGAGGCAUGCUAACCUGAAAUAGGCGCCCAGCCCCCGAGGAUGAGGACUGGCGGAGCCAUGAAGGCACGCCGACUUGAAAUAGGUGCCAAGCCCCUGAGGAUGAGGACCAGCAGAGCCACGAAGGCACUCUGACCAGAAUUAGGCGUCCAGCCCCCGGGCAUGAGUGCGAGGAUUGGCGAAAGCACAUCGAGUUGCCUCCCUUCCCGGGCUCAGGCAGAGAGGUUGGUCGGGUGACGGGAGGCACACCAAGUCAUCAAUGGUGCCCAGCCGCCGAGCCUAGGAGCCGGACGAGUUGCAGAAGCAUGGCAAGUCACCUCUCGCCCCGAGCUAGAGAGGUCGGCCGGGCGACGGGAGGCACGCCGAGUCAUCUACGGUGCCCAGCCCCCGAGCCUUGGAGCCGGUUGAGCCACAGAAGCACGCCAAGCCGCCUCCCGCCCUGAGCCAGAGAGGUCGUUUGGGCGACGAGAGGCACGCCGAGUCGUCUGCGGCGCCUAGCCCUCGAGCUUGGGAGCCAGACGAGCCACAGAAGCAUGCCAAGUCGCCUCCUGUCCCGUGCUAGAGAGGUCGGCCGGGUGAUGGGAGGCACGUCGAGUAGUUUUUGAGCUGUAAAAGAACAAUACAAUCAUUAUGUAGCAUAAUGUAGAUCAUUUAAUCAUUGAACAACUCGGAAGUUUAAUUCGCUGUAGAAGUAAACUCUUGCGCAUCCUGCUCUUGUAGGCCAAGUAAUUUCCCUGGGUAGUUAUCUUGUUACGUUUAAGCACCUAGCCCUACUGACCACUGUUCACGGAGAGGAUGGUUUAUCUUAGGCUAUAGCACUGGGGCUGACCCGAUGCUCGCAUAUAGGAACGCACAGGAUGAGUCAAGGUUUCAUGGAUUGAGGCGUGUGCUACCCGAGUACUUUAGCAACCGUUAACAGGGAUGGACAAGUCGCAAAGCAACCGGAACUGUGCGGAAAAACACCAGCAUGAGUUGGGCACCCAUGGGGUGUAGCCCCCAGCCGCCCGUGUAGUGGACGGACCAAGCUGUAUAAGCAGUUAGGGUGCGACCAAGGUGGUCGGCGAAAGUCACGGAGAUAUAGGAGAGCCGAGGCGGUCAGCGAAAGUCACGACAACAUGGAGGAGCCGAGGCUUAUGUAGGUAUAUGGAAGCUGUAAAAUAUUUUAUUGUAAAUAAUACUUAGCUUGAUUCGUGGUCGAGUCAAAGAACCCGCGUGUCAUCUUCGCGUUUAGUCUUAGAAGCCCCUGAGCGUGGUCGGCGGACAGCUAUUGGUGAAGCAAACUAGUCGAGCUCCAUGCCCAACUAAUUCGUGUCGAGUUCGAGUUGUUGGAGUUGUCAGCGGCAGGUUUGUGGUUGCGAUUGUGGUAUGCUGUUGCCAAGUCGAUGCGGCCAUCGGGUCAUGUCCGGCUGGCCGCUACGCUCACAGUACAACAUGUCUGGGUUGUGCUGCCAAACCAAGGGUGCAUGUACAUCUUUUCGAACCUCGUAAGGAAGCCCUCACGUAUUAAGGAAAUCUAUACCUAAUAUUAAAGCUCCCGCAGCGUGCGCCUAUGCCACGUGCGGUGCGGACGGGUGUGCCGGCUGCGGCUGCGAGCUCCUCACUGCGGCAGGGACCAGGUCGAGCAGCGACAGUGAUGACAAAGGGGAGUAGUCCGCGUCUGCGUGCCGUGCCACCAUCGUCGGGCAAGGUGUGGCGGUGGCGGAGGGGGAGAGUGAGUACAUCGGCGUGCAGCCGCGGCCGUGGGGCAGGUGGGCGGCGGAGAUCCGCGACCCGCACCACGCCGUGCGCAAGUGGCUCAGCACCUUUGACACAGCUAAGGAUGCCACGCGCACCUACAACAUCACCGAUGUCGAGUUUCAAGGCCACUGCACCAAGAUCAACUUCCCCGACGACACGGCCCCCGCGCCCGCACCUUCCUGGGUGCCGACCUCGACAUACCACCGCCACGACCACCUGCCGCUGCCGCUGCCCGAGAGCCUACACGAGACCUGCGGGGCGAACGCAUCCUCGUCGGUGGAUGUGGCUCUUGCGGUAGCGGCGUCGGCCGAGCAGCACGGCACGAGGCCGGUGCCGAAGGAGCAGGACAUCUGGGACAGGCUGAACGAGUUCAUGAUGAUGGAUGACGGUAGCUUUUGGUCACCCAUGCUAUGAUCGUCACAUUCUCCUCCAUUCUCCUCUUGUUUUCACUUUCGUUGCUUAGCGGAUAAUGGUGGUCAGCUGGCCUCUGGUCUGUCGUCAAUCACCAGCCAUCCAUCGCUUUUAUAUGGUUUUACACUAGCUUUUGGGCUUUGACCACGCCCUCCACACCCAUACGAAACGACUAGGUAGAGUGAUGUUGAUCUACUGCUUGCCGCGCGCUAGGGCGAGUAGCUACUCACUCGGGCUAGAUGCCCUACCCGCCACCUGGACCUAAGAGGUGAAGGAGAGGAGGGAGGGGGAAGGAAACAAGGAGACGAGUGCCUCUUUGCAGUCAACCAAGUAGAGCCAUAUGCCAGCGAAGGCAUGGCGCCAGCGAGGGGGGGGGGGCGCAGCGGCAGUCGGCAGGCAACACAAAUAGGGGGCGGAGGUCGGGACCUCACAUCCCCCGCUCAAUGAUGUCCAUCCCCUUCAGAUCCAGAACUAAAGCCUCCACAUCUAGCAAUUGGGGGCUCGAUUUUGCACUUGAUUGGAACGAUUUGGAGUGGAUUAUAGAAGGGAAGUGGAUGGAAACGAGAAGAAGAGGAAAACACAUUCCUGCUCAUGGUGGCCAGAGGCGCGGUGGCCUAGCGCUCGAAGCAGGAAUGAGGCUAGGCACGGGAAGGACGAACGUUUGCCUGGGCGACGGUGAGGAUGGCAAGAUGCGUAGCGCCUGGACGAUGGCGAAGAUAGGGCACGAUGCGGGUGGCGCCGACGGACGAAGUGGCAUCGACUAGCUAGAUGACGAUGAGUACGGGGGAAAUCGAAUGAAUGGAUAGAGCGGAGGUUGAGUGGUGAUUUUUUUUAUUUCCAUGUGUGGGUCCCAUGUAAUAAACAGAUGGCAUCAAACCACCCACAAAUAUCUUCUACUACUGUACUAGGAUAACGCAUCAACAUAUGGUGAAGUGAAAUCAACAUAUUAGGAACAAGCGAAUAAUAAAGUGAGAGUAAGUAAGGACUUGAGCAACGUACAUGUAUUUCUGCUAGUAAGGAAAAAAAUUGUUAGCUGCCGUAGUAAGCACCAAGCAACGUAGGAGAUCUACUGGAUGGAAUAGAUUAAAUAAUAAAGGGAAGGGAGAAUUGUUCCUUCUUUUUGGCAGAUCCGACGUGUCUGCAUGCAACAAGUUAAGGUCAACGUGUUGUGCUAAAUCAACCGGAUCAGACCGGGGCCGGAUCAGGCGAGCUUGGCUGUGGCCGGGAUGAGGCCAAUAAGGGCGUCGCCCUUGACCUUGGCCUCCUGCGCCUCGCGGAUCUUCUACAUCUGGAGCAUCUGCUCCAUGAUGAGCUCGUACUGGCACUUCUUGUAGGCGUGGCGCUCGGGCUCGCACUUCCAGCGGAGGUAGAACUCGGAGGUGCACGCACUGGUCGUGGUAGGCGAGCGGCACCCAGGCCUCCGCCAUCUCCACCUGCGUGACGAUCUGGGGCUUCGAGGAGCCGAACUGAAUGCCGGCCAUUGCCGCCGCCUCCAUUUGUCACUUUGUUGCCCUCUCUCUUGCCGGCGAGGUCGUUCCGUUGAUAGAUGGGUGCUGCGGGUUUGGUGCGGCGUGGGUGGGUGGGGUGCAUCAAGGACGUGAGGAACCCUCUCGGAGAGAGAGAUUGCUGACCUACUAGGUAAACGGUGUGAUGAUCCUUUGAUAUAGACCUUGCUCCGCCGGAGUAAAUUCGACAGAUGCCAAGCUGGCGGCGGGCAUUGAGUCGAAGUCCACUAGCAUGCUCCUGAAGUGGAGCUGGAUCGGAUUGGUGAGGAAGUCCUUCAUGCUCUUGGGGAAAACAAUGUCGGGGCGGGAUGCCAUCGAGCUCGCUAGGGAGGAUCUUACAAUCAUCCCUACCUAGCGCACCAACUGUUGGAUUUAUAAGCCCGGUAGUCCACCAGGGGGUUACCCAAGUAGUUGAUUUGUAGGUGAGGGCAAUUGCAAAAUCAAGAACUCGAAGGUGAUCGCGAAAACACGAAGGGACACGAAGGUUUUAGAUAGGUUCGGGCCUCCGGAGAGUAAUACCCUAUGUCCUGUAUGCUGAUUUGUAUUGCUUGAGAUUGAUAUGAUUGUUGGGAUACCCUCGGGGGUGCCCUUGGCCGCUUUAUAUAGGCUGACGACCAAGAGUUACAAGUCGGUUUGAAUCUAAUCUACUCGGUAGUUACAUGGAAAGUAAUAUGAGUCAGACUACAAUACGCGUUCCAUGAUAUCCAGGCAUAUUUGAAUUGUCUUGUUGCUUUGACGUGCACUCCAAGUAACUUUAUGUCCUCGAUCCGCACGCCUUGGUCAGGUGGGCCCUACUUGUCAGGUCUGACCAGUAUCUUGAGGUACCCAUAUCUCUCACCUUGGUGCUCCGGCGAUUAGGGUCAGUGGCGAGGAUGGGGAUUGGAAGAGGAGAUCGAGGGGACUUUAUGGAGAUGCUCACCGGCGACGAGGCGGACAGAUUCUGGCAAGUAUUUGGCUGGCGGUGGAAGAACACGACAGCUGGCUCAAGUCUUCGUGAGUGAUGGUACUCCAGCGGUGGAGCGACGACGACGACUGGUGGCAGAGCUGCUCCUCGAUGUCACGGAGCUCCCUAAGGCUCUAGCUUGCUCCGAUGGUCGACGGGCACAACGAAUCGGCCAGAGAAGGACAUCAGUGGCUCCUAGCUCUGGCGGAUGUGGGGGAUGGCAGCGCUCGUGCAAGCUAGGAAGAGCGGCGGUGUGAGGCAGGGCAAUAGCAGGGGCACGAUCUCAACUUUUAUAUGUACGUGGGUCCGCGCCUGCCUUGGCACGCAUGCCGAGGUUCGGCGGUGGCGAUGCCCAAGUGCAGCUACGCUUGGCCUCGACCCGCUGGUGGUCGAUAUGCCUAGCGGGCCUAGCCGAGCCAUCAACUGGGCCGGGUCAGUGCAGGUUAGUUUGAGAGGGUCGGGCCCCAAAGACUUGGCCCCAUCGAUUAAGAUUUUUCUUUUUUUCAGAAAUGAUUUCUCGUGAAAGAAAAAUCCAGAAAAAUUCUAGAUAAUUAAUUUAAACAAUGAAAAAACUCUAAAAAUCCAAAAAUUUCAGGAAAAGUCAUCUCUAGUUUGGGACAUGAGGAGUCCAAAUAAAAUACUUGGAGCUCGUGAAAAGGAUUCUAGAACCUUCCAAAAAUUGGAUUUAGCUUUAGAAAAAAAUGAGAAUAAAUCUUAGAAAAAUCUGAAAAUUCUCAUAAGAACCUAAUCAGCAUCUAAACGCAUUCCAAAACUUUUGCACUUAUGAAAUACCAAGAUGCAUUGGUGUGAAUGCAACCCAUACACAAUCAUUAUAUUUAAUUCAGAAAAACACUCAAUUAUUUUCCUAUACUAAAUUUCCUGUCAAGAAAAUAAAUGUUGAAAUUUUUUUAAAAUUGUGAAAAAAUUAUUGUUUAAUUAUUCUUUUUAAUCACAUCCUGAAAUUUCAAAAUUUUUAAGGUGAGGCAGAUACCCUCAGGUUUACAGAAUUUGACAUCCAUGUGCAAAUUGGAUCUAUCCUUCCAUGAUCUGCAAGGUGAAGUGCCAAAAGUUUUUUUUUGGCAAAUGCAACUUACAUGUCGAUUUAUGGAAAUGAUCAGCUUUGUGGUGGAAAUACCUCAACUUCAUUUAGCUCCAUGCUCCAUGUCCAGUGCAAAAAAGAAAAAAAAGGAAAUUUGUCGAAAACCCUUGUGAUCACCCUAACAUCAAUCAGUGCAGUUGUAUUCUCAGUUUCAGUACUUACUGUAAUUGUGUUGAUCUGUAAGAAGCUUAGGAAAAGGCACGAAAGUCAACUCAUAUCCACAACUGAGGAACUGUAUGAAAGAGUUUCUUAUCAUGCUUUGUCAAAUGGGACCAAUGGAUUUUGAGAGGACAAUUUACUUGGACAAGGAAGCUAUGGCAUGGUUUAUAAAUGUACUUUACAUGACCAGGGCACUACAGUAGGCUACUGUAAAGGUGUUUAACACACAACAAUCUGGGACUUCUAGAAGUUUUGUCGCUGAAUGCGAGGCACUCAGAAGGGUGCGUCCUCGUUGUCUCGUAAAGAUCAUCACUUGUUGCUCAAGCAUCAAUCACCAGGGUCAAGAGUUCAAGGCACUAGUUUUUGAGCUCAUGCCAAAUGGUAGCCUAAAUGGUUGGCUUCACCCAGAGUCUGACACACUUACCCCGACAAAUAAUCUUAGCCUUGAACAAAGGCUACACAUUGCUGUCGAUAUCCUGGAUGCUUUGGACUAUCUUCAUAAUCACUGUCAGCCAUCAAUCAUUCAUUGCGACUCAAGCCAAGCAACAUCUUUCUUGCGGAGGACAUGAGUGAGUGCCCGAGUUGGAGGUUUUGGCAUACGAAGAAUCCUUCCAGAAAGUGCUAGUAAAACCCUGCAAAAUUUGAAUAGCACAACUGGAAUAAGAGGCAUCAUUGGUUAUGUUGCACCAGGUAAUGAAAGAGAUAUUUUUGGUAUUUGUAAAAUAUUCUUAGUUCUUACGUAUACAUGACCUGCUGACCUUUGGUUUUUUUCCCCAAUCAGAGUACGGUGAAGGUUCUUCUGUCUCAACUCAAGGUGAUGUUUAUAGCCUCGGCAUAUUGCUGCUUGAGAUGUUUACUGGAAGAAACCCAACAGAUGAGAUAUUCAAUGAUUCUUUGGAUUUGCACAAGUUUUCAGAGAAUGCUCUUCCAGAGAGAAUAUGGGAUAUAGUUGAUCCGACAAUACGGAUGCACACAGAUGCCUAUAACAGCACUAUAAGAAGUGGAAUUAAGAAUUGCUUGGUUUCUGUUGUUUCUCUUGGAAUAUCAUGCUCGGAGAAACAACCUAGGGAGCGGAUCCCGAUUCUGGAUGCAGCCAUUGAGAUGCACGCUAUUAGAGAUUCGUAUCUCAAGUUUGCCAGAUCUCUUUUGGUGGAGCAUGGAGUAGUAGCAACAACUCACAGUGAUUUUCCACAACAGUGAAUACAUAGGACUGAAAAUGCGCAAGAUGUCUGCAGGUGAUCAGUUUACCUGAAAUAACUGAAGAUGUAUGAAGCUUCAGCUUUAUAAUUUGUCCAUGCAUUUGUUUGCAUCAGAUAUAUGGAAGUAUAAAAUAAGUUUAGAAAAUGUUUCAAAAUAGAUUAGAUCCAGAGGUUUUAGUUGUUGUUUGUAUGACACAUUUUUGUAGAGAAUUCAGUAAUAUGUAUGAUUCAUAAUACAAUCAAUGCUCUGCAAAUUUCAGAUAGCACAAUUGGAAUAAAAAGCUCAUUCCUUGAUUAUGUUGCUCUAGGUAACUCAACUUAUUGUGGCCGGUUAUACAUGGUCUGGAAUGGGCAUCCGCUGAUGGAUUGAAACCUUGAACUGCUUCCGUGUGUUUUUUGUCAUCUAUAUAUUAUGGUUAGUCAACGGCAUGCAGUACACCCAUGCAUAUGAUUGCAGUAGGAUGACAUGGCGCGACCAGAACCCUUCUUUUGCCAGUUUUAGAUUCUUAUACACGGCCAACUGACGCAGCAGGGAGUUGCAUGCUAAGCAGUUCAGCGUAGGUGGUGAGUUCUCAACUCUGAUAUGGCUUAUGGAAGAACACUGUCACGGUGUCACCUAGCCGGUUGGAGGCCAACCUCUUACUAGGGACAGCAAUGGCCCUGUCCGGCCACUGUUUCGUGGCUGGUAUUAUUACCCCUAUGCAGUGAAUAUGACAUGUGGAUCUAUGUGUAUAUUAUGUCGUCAAAAGAACAUUAUAUGAACCGUUGAUCCACCUUUGAUUCUAUUAAUGUGUCAUGGUCAAUUGAUGUCAAACUCUAUUAUCUUCAAGUCUUAUUGUAUUGAUAAAAUCACGAUGCUGCUACUGCCAUUUUGAUGUUUAUAAAAGGGUAUUGAGAACCUGGUGGGUAUCCAUUCGAUGCGCAGGGUUGGGGGUGGGGAAAAAUGAGUGUAAAGGACAGGGAUGCAGUAUUUAGAAAGAAGGAAGCAAAAAAGGAAGCAUACCUCAAUCUCUGAAGAACAUAAAAGGUCUUGCAUUACUUAACCUAACAAUGAAUAAGCUAUCUGGUAGUAUUCCUGAUGCCCUUGCUAGCAUUGGCAACCUGCAACAACUGUAUCUAGCACACAACAACUUGUCAGGUUCCAUCCCCAAAGUUCUACAGAAUUUGACAUUGUUGGCAAAACUGGAUUUGUCCUUCAAUGAUCUGCAAGGCGAAGUGCCAAAAGGGGGUCCUUUUGCAAAUGCAACUCACUUGUCAAUUGAUGGAAAUGAUGAGCUUUGUGGCGGAAACCCUCAACUUCAGUUAGCUCCGUGCUCCACAGCUGCUGCGGGGAAGAACCGAAGGCGAAUGUCCAGAUCACUUAUGGUCACCGUAGCGUCAAUCUGUGCACUUCUAUUCUUAGGUUUAGUAGUUUUUCUUAUCCAUUUGAUCCACAAGAGGCUCAGACAAGGAAAGGAAAAUCAACUCAUUCCCACAGCAAUUGAUGAACAGCACGAAAGGGUUUCAUAUCAAGCAUUAGCAAAUGGGACUAACCAUUUUUCGGAGGUUAAUCUGCUCGGACAAGGAAGCUAUGGUGCAGUUUAUAAGUGCACUUUACAAGACAAGGGAAUUACCGCAGCUGUAAAGGUAUUCAAUGUGUGGCAAUCUGGGUCUACUAGAAGUUUUGUGGCUGAAUGUGAGGCACUGCGAAGGGUGCGCCACCGAUGUCUCAUAAAGAUCAUCACCUGUUGCUUAAGCAUUGAUCACCAAGGCCAAGAAUUCAAGGCACUGGUUUUUGAGUUCAUGCCCAAUGGUAACCUAAAUGGUUGGCUGCAUCCAGCAUCCAAAAUACAGAGUCUGAGCAAUACGCUCAGCUUAGCUCAGAGACUGGACAUUGCGGUAGAUAUCAUGGAUGCUCUGGAUUAUCUUCACAAUCAGUGUCAACCGCCUAUUAUCCAUUGUGAUCUCAAACCAAGUAACAUCCUCCUUGCCGAAGAUAUGAGUGCUCGGGUUGGAGAUUUUGGCAUAUCAAAAAUCCUUCCUGAUGACACUAGCAAAACUCUGCUGAAUUCAGUUAGCUUCACUGGACUAAGAGGUUCCAUUGGAUAUGUCGCUCCAGGUAACAGAAACUAACACUAUUAUUGCUAUGUUUAGUUUUUAACUUCCAUUUUGCCAAGUCCAGUUAUCUCGGCAUGCACGUUGAUAAGUAGCUUGCCAUGAAUCCACUGACCAAAUAGUGUCUGAAAUCUGAAUUGACUGCAGAGUACGGCGAGGGUCGCGCUGUCUCAACUCUUGGAGAUGUUUACAGCCUCGGCAUACUGUUGCUUGAGAUGUUCACCGGGGUGAGCCCUACUGACGACAUGUUCAAAGACUCCUUGGACCUUCAUAAGUUCGCCGAGGCCGCUCUCCCCGACAGAGCCUUGGAGGUAGCCGACCCGGCAAUCUGGCUUCAUGAAGAAGCAAAGGGGAAAGACCCUGCCACGGUGAGAAGCAGAAGCGAGGUGUGCUUGGCUUCAGUGAUCGGGCUUGGCGUGUCCUGCUCAAAGCAGCUGCCAAGGGAGCGGACGGCGAUGCGGGAUGCUGCCGCUGAGAUGCGUGCGAUCAGAGAUGCCUUCCUGGUUCAAUGUGCAACAGAGACUUGGCCUGCAGUCGGCACCACCGGCCUUGGAAGUGCAGACAGUUGAAUGGUGGACGGAGCUACGGUCUCUUGACGCACCAAGGAGCACCGGACUAGCAACUCUGCACCUAACAGAGUGGAGAAAGCGCCCCUUAAUGAAAAGAAAAACAGCCGGUGCAAGGCUUUAUACAAAGAAUGUGACAGCCACUGCGUGUAUCCGAGAGCCUUAUCUAAUCUACCGAGGAUUGUUGUGUAUGGAUGCGUAUAGAUUAU